CAGGCCUAACACAUGCAAGUCGAGCGCGCCCUUCGGGGUGAGCGGCGGACGGGUGAGUAACGCGUGGGAACGUGCCCUUUUCUACGGAAUAGUCUCGGGAAACUUACGCUAAUACCGCAUACGACCUACGGGUGAAAGUGGGGGACCUUCGGGCCUCACGCGAUGAGAUGAGCCGAUGCCGGAUUAGCUAGUUGGCGGGUAAAGGCCCACCAAGGCGACGAUCCGUAGCUGGUCUGAGAGGAUGAUCAGCCACACUGGAACUGAGACACGGUCCAGACUCCUACGGGAGGCAGCAGUGGGGAAUAUUGGACAAUGGGGGCAACCCUGAUCCAGCCAUGCCGCGUGUGUGAAGAAGGCCUUCGGGUUGUAAAGCACUUUUGUUGGGGAAGAAACCGGCCGGGUUAAUACCCUGGUUGAAUGACGGUACCCAAAGAAUAAGCACCGGCUAACUUCGUG
Molecule: ribosomal RNA, 456 nt
Filed under: uncultured bacterium
Lineage: Bacteria
Description: bacterial SSU rRNA
Rfam family: Bacterial small subunit ribosomal RNA
Source: RNAcentral